This 439-nucleotide ribosomal RNA is filed under the name Bacillus sp. (in: firmicutes). Its description in RNAcentral is "bacterial SSU rRNA". It matches the Rfam family "Bacterial small subunit ribosomal RNA", at positions 21 to 448 of the family's 1533-position model. Lineage: Bacteria; Bacillati; Bacillota; Bacilli; Caryophanales; Bacillaceae. The record is from RNAcentral.
GGCUCAGGAUGAACGCUGGCGGCGUGCCUAAUACAUGCAAGUCGAGCGAAUGGAUUAAGAGCUUGCUCUUAUGAAGUUAGCGGCGGACGGGUGAGUAACACGUGGGUAACCUGCCCAUAAGACUGGGAUAACUCCGGGAAACCGGGGCUAAUACCGGAUAACAUUUUGAACUGCAUGGUUCGAAAUUGAAAGGCGGCUUCGGCUGUCACUUAUGGAUGGACCCGCGUCGCAUUAGCUAGUUGGUGAGGUAACGGCUCACCAAGGCAACGAUGCGUAGCCGACCUGAGAGGGUGAUCGGCCACACUGGGACUGAGACACGGCCCAGACUCCUACGGGAGGCAGCAGUAGGGAAUCUUCCGCAAUGGACGAAAGUCUGACGGAGCAACGCCGCGUGAGUGAUGAAGGCUUUCGGGUCGUAAAACUCUGUUGUUAGGGAAGA